Non-coding RNA from Phrynosoma platyrhinos (Desert horned lizard), 72 nucleotides. The record is from the annotation of a GenBank genome assembly. NCBI's taxonomy places the organism in Eukaryota, Metazoa, Chordata, Lepidosauria, Squamata, Phrynosomatidae.
GCCAAUGUGGCAUAAUAGUUUGAGCACUGGACGCCCACUCUGGAGAUCAGGGUUCAAUUCCCUGCUUGGCCA